This 177-nucleotide ribosomal RNA is filed under the name uncultured Lactobacillus sp. RNAcentral's name for it is "partial 16S ribosomal RNA". It matches the Rfam family "Bacterial small subunit ribosomal RNA", at positions 338 to 507 of the family's 1533-position model. The record is from RNAcentral. Lineage: Bacteria; Bacillati; Bacillota; Bacilli; Lactobacillales; Lactobacillaceae.
CCUACGGGAGGCAGCAGUAGGGAACCUUCCACAAUGGACGAAAGUCUGAUGGAGCAACGCCGCGUGAGUGAUGAAGGGUUCCGGCUCGUAAAACUCUGUUGUUGGAGAAGAACAGGUGUCAGAGUAACUGUUGACACCUUGACGGUAUCCAACUAGAAAGCCACGGCUAACUACGUG